UGGGGAAUAUUGCACAAUGGGCGCAAGCCUGAUGCAGCCAUGCCGCGUGUGUGAAGAAGGCCUCGGGUUGUAAAGCACUUUCAGCGAGGAGGAAGGUGGUGAACUUAAUACGUUCAUCAAUUGACGUUACUCGCAGAAGAAGCACCGGCUAACUCCGUGCCAGCAGCCGCGGUAAUACGGAGGGUGCAAGCGUUAAUCGGAAUUACUGGGCGUAAAGCGCACGCAGGCGGUUUGUUAAGUCAGAUGUGAAAUCCCCGGGCUCAACCUGGGAACUGCAUUUGAAACUGGCAAGCUAGAGUCUCGUAGAGGGGGGUAGAAUUCCAGGUGUAGCGGUGAAAUGCGUAGAGAUCUGGAGGAAUACCGGUGGCGAAGGCGGCCCCCUGGACGAAGACUGACGCUCAGGUGCGAAAGGCGUGGGGAGCAAAACAGGAUUAGAUACCCUGGUAGUCCACGCUGUAAACGAUGUCGAUUUUGGGA
Molecule: ribosomal RNA, 477 nt
Filed under: uncultured bacterium
Lineage: Bacteria
Description: partial 16S ribosomal RNA
Rfam family: Bacterial small subunit ribosomal RNA
Source: RNAcentral